AAAUGUCACAAAACAGCAGUGACCACAGUACCCCUCCAUUGGAGAUUGUGGAGCAAUCAUCAUCUAGCGGGUCACAGGAUGAAACGGAGAGGACACACUCCCAAAUGGAGACAGAAUUCAGCCAAAGACAACCUGCAACAGAUGUGGGCAGGACAACUACUCACGAGCCAAGACAGGUAUACGUGAAUAGCAAUGGAAAGAGAUGCUAAUAAAGUUUACAGCAUAAUAAUU
Bufo bufo (common toad) is the source of this 231-nucleotide long non-coding RNA. RefSeq lists it as uncharacterized. The record is from RefSeq and is a predicted model, not a curated record. NCBI's taxonomy places the organism in Eukaryota, Metazoa, Chordata, Amphibia, Anura, Bufonidae. The transcript has 3 exons.